GCGGUCGUGGCGAAAUGGCAGACGCGCUAGCUUCAGGCGCUAGUGGGGGAUACCUCAUGGUGGUUCAAAUCCACUCGGCCGCA
Non-coding RNA from Megamonas hypermegale ART12/1, 83 nucleotides. The record is from Rfam. NCBI's taxonomy places the organism in Bacteria, Bacillati, Bacillota, Negativicutes, Selenomonadales, Selenomonadaceae.